Molecule: ribosomal RNA, 301 nt
Filed under: uncultured bacterium
Lineage: Bacteria
Description: partial 16S ribosomal RNA
Rfam family: Bacterial small subunit ribosomal RNA
Source: RNAcentral
CAGUCCCACGGGAAUACGAAGGGGGCGAGCGUUGCUCGGAAUGACUGGGCGUAAAGGGCGCGUAGGUGGCGUGCACAGUCAGAUGUGAAAUUCCUGGGCUCAACCUGGGGGCUGCAUCUGAUACGUGCGUGCUAGAGUGUGGAAGAGGGUCGUGGAAUUCCCAGUGUAGAGGUGAAAUUCGUAGGUAUUGGGAAGAACACCGGUGGCGAAGGCGGCGACCUGGUCCAUUACUGACGCUGAGGCGCGAAAGCGUGGGAGCAAACAGGAUUAGAUACCCGCGUAGUCCCUGUCUCUUAUACAC